RNAcentral lists this transfer RNA (87 nucleotides) under Chloroflexota bacterium. RNAcentral describes it as "tRNA-Leu". It matches the Rfam family "tRNA". Rfam says of the family: Transfer RNA (tRNA) molecules are approximately 80 nucleotides in length. Their secondary structure includes four short double-helical elements and three loops (D, anti-codon, and T loops). The record is from RNAcentral. Lineage: Bacteria; Bacillati; Chloroflexota.
GCCCAGGUGGCGAAACGGCAGACGCGCUAGGUUGAGGGCCUAGUCCCCGUUUAGGGGGUAAGGGUUCAAAUCCCUUCCUGGGCACCA